RNAcentral lists this ribosomal RNA (741 nucleotides) under Triticum aestivum (bread wheat). RNAcentral's name for it is "partial small subunit ribosomal RNA". Lineage: Eukaryota; Viridiplantae; Streptophyta; Magnoliopsida; Poales; Poaceae. The record is from RNAcentral.
AUGGACGAUCUCCUCUCUCCGUCCUCCUCCUUCGUUCCACCCUCACCGUCCUCCCACUUCUCCACCGUAGGCCAGCAGGUGCUCGAGUUCGUGUCCCGGGAAAUUCCCGAACAAUGGCUGUUCGACGACGGCACGAUGUCCCAGAACGCGGACAGGGAGCUCGCUGAGCUCUCCGAGCUGCCACCGAGCCUCCCGGCAACGCUGCAGUGCCAAACCAACCGGCGGGGCCGGAAAACCGGGCCCCGCUCUGACGGUCGCCAUAGCGCCGUCAGCCAUGUGCAGGCCGAGCGGCUGCGCCGCGACAAACUGAACCGUCGAUUUUGCGAUCUCCGAGCUGCCGUCCCCAACGUGUCCCGCAUGGACAAGGCAUCACUCCUGGCAGACGCCGUCGCCUACAUCGCGGAGCUGCGCUCCCGCGUGGCGCGCCUCGGGGACGAGGCCAACAAGGAACUGGAGCAGAGCUCUGUGGCCGCUUCCAAGUUCGUGCAGGUAGAUGAAGCGGUGGACGUGCGGAUGGUGGGAAGUGACGCGGCCGCGGUGCGUGUGACCACAGCAGCCAGCCACGCUCCGGCGCGGCUGAUGGGCGCGCUCCGGUCGCUGGAGCUGCAGGUGCAGCAUGCCUGCGUUAGCCGCGUGCAAGGCGUGACCCUGCAGGACGUCGUCGUGGACGUGCCACCCUCGAUGCAGGACGCUGAUGGCCUCCGCUCGGCGCUGCUCCAGACGCUGCAGGACAGCGCCUAG